This 4714-nucleotide long non-coding RNA is filed under the name Marmota monax (woodchuck). The record is from RNAcentral. Lineage: Eukaryota; Metazoa; Chordata; Mammalia; Rodentia; Sciuridae.
CUUUGCAUGAAUAAUGUGAGUGCGCUUGGAAAGGAGACCUUCUGCUCCCCGGGCUCGGGGCAAGCGCCCGCAGGCUGCCUUCCCCGGGCUCGGGCGGUCAACCCAACAGGCUCGAGGGCUCCGGUAAUUUGGCAAGAGGACUGCGCGGAGGAGGCAGGGGGUGGUGGGUAGGCGGAGGAGGGGGCGACAGUUCCCACCGUCCAGAAGGUGGGGACUGGGUGUCGCAGGAACCUGGACGGGUGCCGGCUGUAAAGCUCAGCGCGCGCGGGCGGGCAGGCGUGGGCGGGCGGGGGUGUCAUCGCCUCCUGACCUGCCUCCGCGGGGUUUCUGCGCCCGGGGUCUGGGAGGAGGUGCCCUCUGGCGCUCCGCCACCGCGGGGCUGCAGGCAGGGAGCCACGGCGUGGGCAGUGGCGGAGCAGGGUGUCUAGGGGCCCCCUUCAUUCGCAGCGGCUGUUCCUCAAACCCCAAGCCCAGUUGUUGACAGGCUCCUUGUGAAAUGGAGUUUGGCAUCCUCAGCGCCCAACCGAGUGGAAGUUUCCAUGAUGAGGAAGUUGUGUGACAUGGGGGUUCGGAAAAGGUUGGCAGGCACGGGGGAGGGGGGUGCAGUUUAAAGGGACUUGGGUCUCCUGUCCCCCUUUUUUUCUCCUGCCCUGGAACUCAGGGAUUUGGAAUGGAGAAUUGCCCUGAAAGCUGUCGUGCGCUGUUACCAGUGCCUGGCGACUCAACUCUGCUGCUCUCUGCCUCUUUGGGAAAUCGGUGGCGAUUCUACUAGACUCCCGAGUAGCGCUUCUUUGCUUUGCUGUUCUUGACGCAGCAUCUUCCUCUGGGUCAUCUCGAGUUGGUUGUGUUACCAGUUGUUCCAGAUGUGCAUUACCCACCUCUUGGGGAAGGAUUCAUUUGGGUAGUUUUUAUUCCUAGUUAAUUUCGUCCUUCUUAGCUGCAGUUGUCAUUUUGGAGGAGGAUUUCCUGAUGACCAUUAUAGGAUUAUUAUUGGAGCUAAUUCUUAAGCCUUCUGAUUUGUUUUAAGAAGACUGGGGGUGGGGUGGAAUGAGGGUUGUUUUUGUUUUUGUUUUUCAGUUAAAAGCUAAAUGUGUAAUUUUCUCCAAAUGGGAAAAUUUAAAAGAAGGGUCUGAAGCAUAGCAAUUCCAAACGUGAGUCAAAGAAAGUGUUUACCUGAGCAGCCAAGUUCAGACUCUUCACCCUCCUCUCUCCACACACGUUUAGAAUUUGUGAAGAUUCAAACACUAUGUCUAACUGGUAAAUAUACUUGAAAUAAAUCCUUCCCCUCAGCAUAUAAUUGGUCUUAGGUACUAGUGAGAUUCAAUUAUAAAGACUAUUUUAAGUUAAAGAAAUGAAGCAUUCCAGGUACUGUGCAUUCAUACGAGAACAGAACAAUUUUUAUAAUGAUAAAUGUAUUAGAUAAAGUAAACCUGGUAGGCAGUGUUUUUACAUCAUUUAUCCUUAGUUUGUUAUCAUUGCAACAAAAUAUUACAUGCACUGUAUUGCAAAGGAAUAAAAACUGCAUUUUAGUGAAAAUGUUCCAUGAUUCAUUCUGAAUAUUCAUGAUGACGAUUCUACUCCCUAAUUCAUUCUGCUUAAUUCUAACUCUGAAAGGAGGCAUAAGCUAAGAAACAUUAAUGAAAAAGGUAUUUCAAAAGUAUUUUGAACAGUGGAUGAUUUUAAGACAUUUUCAUGUCAGUUGGCUAAGUGAGUUAAUGGACCCUAAUGGCAAUUUAGUAGUGAUUUGUUUGGGGUAUUUUAUAUGUAGGGUCUGGUGAGCAACUAUUUAUUAUUUGUGCAUGUUAAACAGAUGCUGGUAGAAUUUUAUUUUUAAUUAAUUUCAAAGGUUUAUUAUAUAUUGGAAGUGAAAACAUCUGCUAGUAAAUAGAGUUUGGCUUUAUUUUAUGAGUAAAAUAAAUGAUACUGAACAUAGCUUACCAAAUUCUUUUGGGUUUUUUAUGAAGUGAUUCCUGUUGGUUCUACAAUGCAAAAGCAUAAUUUCAUUGACAUUGGGAAUAUUGUUGUAUAAAGUAACUGGCAUUACAUUUCUCCCAUUUUCACUUUUUUGUAGUAAAUUCUGUUGUAGAGAAGAACUAAGACAAUUUGCUUUUAAUCUAGCAUCUUGGGGGGGCGGGGGGAGGUGAAUUCUUAAAAUCCCCUUAAGAACAGGGAAAGCUGAGGAUUCCUUUCCUUUCCUAAGGUGUUUCCAGUUGUUUGAAGCAUGAGAUGUUAGGGGGCCACACAUGAGAUUGCAUGUUUGAUUAUAAAAUAAAAUUUUUAGUAAGCUCAUCUUUUGAUGGAAAUCAGAAUAUAGGUGAUUGAUUUCUAUAUCUCUUUCUCAUUCUGUUAUAAGGUUCUGUGUCACCUUGGAGCAAAGACAGUCCCUUAUUCCUUUUUAAAACGUUCAGUUUGUUUGUUUGCAUCUUUUUCCUCCUUUCAUCUUCUUUGCAAUCUGAAUUGUUCAUUUCAUUUGAUAUUUGUUGAUUACCUGUCUACUCUGCCUACAGUAUAGAGCCCAUAAAAAUGGGAGUCUUGACUACUUCAUUGACUCUAGAUUUCCCAGCAUCUAGAAGAACACUUGACACACAGUAGGUGCUGAGUAAAUCUUUGUUGAACAAAUUAAUGGUUGUGCCCAAACAUCAUGUUCCCCUAAUGCCUGACUCAGCAUUGCAAAUGGGUGCCAGUUGGGCAUGCCAAAAUUUGUGGCUCGUGUGUGUGCUUGUGCACGCAAAUACACACACAUACCAUGUUUACAUGGUUCAAUCUUUGCACCUCCUCACCCUCUCUGAUAACAGCUGGCCUGCCAUUCUGUAUAGCAGCAACAUUGUAGAGAGUUAUUUCUCCAAAUUGCUCCAGGCAUUUGCCUACCUUCAGCAGUGGUGGAGAUUGCCUUUCAAAUGUUACCUUGAUUCCCUGAAGACAUUGACCGUCAACUCCCUGAAUUUUAGCAGAAUCUUUAUGGGUUCCAGGAGCAUUGUCAGUACUAAGAGUCAAAUUCCAGAGACCAGACAUCACUGGGUGAUUGCAGCGACUUCUCACUCAGCAGGUCUUGGCAGUGUCUUUGGCCUUGGCAGUCCUAAGAGGACCAAGGGCGUGUGGUGAUAUAGUUUAGGCUGUAAAAAUGGUGGCUUGGGAGGGAAAGGGGAAUGGGACUGGCAAGUUCCAACACAAGAUAGAUAUACUCCUUGGUAAUAGAUUUGGAAAUAACCUGAUGAUGACUGUAUGUUGUAACUCAAGUCAGCCAACCUCUUCUCUUUCCCCCCCGGUUGCACUUUCAUACAUAUAUUCUGAACCAGAUGAUGGUGCACAAUACUGCAUUAUGUGAGCUUUCAAGUGACCAGAAUUUGAUAGCCAAGGGGUCAUCUUCAGAUUAAUUAUUCAUGGAAAUUCUUGCCAAUUGGGAAUAAGAGGAAAUUACAAUCGAUGAUUAUGGUAAUUUGUUUUUGUUUAUAGAGAUCGACUUUCAGAAAUGUGUCUGAGUAAAUGCAUAGUAAAAAUUCCACAAAAUAACAAGACUGUUAAAAAUGGGAAGGAAAGAUAAACUAAAAUCCUAAGUGUUUACUGCUUUAUUUACUUUAUCUCUGAGCUUUGUAACAGCCAAGUUAAUAGGAAAAACAGAGAGAGAGAAAGAGAGAUCUGGAGGGCAUACAAGCAAGUUGUUGGUAUAGAUCAGAUAAUAUGUAGAGAGCUCACCAUGAUGCCUGGCAACUAGAAUAUAUUCAUAUGAAAGAUCAAAUUAUGCCAUGGACAGUGCUUCAACUUGGAUUCUACAGAAAAUGAAGUUUAUAUGGUCAUGUGUUUUACCAGUCCUCAAGAGGGAGAAAAAAAUUUCAGAAGGCUCAGUGAAGAAAAGUAACCAGAUAUGAGUUAUCUCUGGGGCCCAAGCUCCUGUGAUCCAGUGAUGGAGAUUCUGGCGAUGAUCCUCAAUGCAGAAAACCUAGUGGAAUGAAUGGCUAACAUGUCCAUUAAACUAACUUUCUGAGACAUGCAGUGUGUCCACCAGGCUUUUCAUUAGAGCAAUCUGAGAGGACAGAAUAGGCAGGUACUUGAAAAUGACCCUAUAGCCAUAAACUUCCCUGAUUGGUGGACCUUCUGCUUUGUGCUUUUAGUCUAUGUAGUUCUUAUACUUCAGGAAGUCUGUUUCAAUUCCUGCCCCCACCUCUAAAUUGUGAUGAGAGGCUGUGAGUGGGUUUAUUCAUCCUUGACACUCCAGUGCCUGAUAGAUAAGGAGCUUGGCACAAGAGCACAGGUAAACUUCUAGUGGAAGAACAGAAGGGAGAGAAGGGGUGGUGCUUCUCAUUUUCCUCUGUGUUGGUAAGUGAGUGCCAUCUUCUAACUUUUGGUUUUGCCCAAAGUGAAUGUUUACUGCCUGGAUUGCAUCAUAGGCCAAAUCAUGCAACUGUUUUGCUAAGAAGGGCUUGUUCUGGUGUCAAAGCUGGUUGAGCAAUGCAUGACAAGUUAACUCCUUACUUUAUUUACAGUCACUUUGAUCCUUUGAUUUGAUUGCUUAUUCCAUCUGCAGAUAUUAUGUGCCCACUGUGUGCCUGAUCCUGCUAGUCACCUUGAAGUUUGGUGUGCAGCCAGUGACAUAUGAGACAAUAUACAGAGAUUAAGACAAAGGGAUUCUGAAAUGCUCUCCACUGGGAUGAAAUGGAUGUGCCUCUUGGAGUUUCUCAUGUGAACCCUUAGCUGAAAUAAAGUCAUUUUAUUUCUG